GAUGAACGCUGGCGGCGUGCUUAACACAUGCAAGUCGAACGGGAAAUACUUUAUUGAAACUUCGGUGGAUUUAAUUUAUUUCUAGUGGCGGACGGGUGAGUAACGCGUGGGUAACCUGCCUUAUACUGGGGGAUAACAGCCAGAAAUGACUGCUAAUACCGCAUAAGCGCACAGAACCGCAUGGUUCGGUGUGAAAAACUCCGGUGGUAUAAGAUGGACCCGCGUUGGAUUAGCUAGUUGGCAGGGCAGCGGCCUACCAAGGCGACGAUCCAUAGCCGGCCUGAGAGGGUGAACGGCCACAUUGGGACUGAGACACGGCCCAGACUCCUACGGGAGGCAGCAGUGGGGAAUAUUGCACAAUGGGGGAAACCCUGAUGCAGCGACGCCGCGUGAAGGAAGAAGUAUCUCGGUAUGUAAACUUCUAUCAGCAGGGAAGAUAAUGACGGUACCUGACUAAGAAGCCCCGGCUAACUACGUGCCAGCAGCCGCGGUAAUACGUAGGGGGCAAGCGUUAUCCGGAUUUACUGGGUGUAAAGGGAGCGUAGACGGCGCAGCAAGUCUGAUGUGAAAGGCAGGGGCUUAACCCCUGGACUGCAUUGGAAACUGCUGUGCUUGAGUGCCGGAGGGGUAAGCGGAAUUCCUAGUGUAGCGGUGAAAUGCGUAGAUAUUAGGAGGAACACCAGUGGCGAAGGCGGCUUACUGGACGGUAAC
RNAcentral lists this ribosomal RNA (711 nucleotides) under uncultured Lachnospiraceae bacterium. RNAcentral describes it as "bacterial SSU rRNA". It matches the Rfam family "Bacterial small subunit ribosomal RNA", at positions 28 to 740 of the family's 1533-position model. The record is from RNAcentral. Lineage: Bacteria; Bacillati; Bacillota; Clostridia; Lachnospirales; Lachnospiraceae.